UACGAAGGGGGCUAGCGUUGCUCGGAUUGACUGGGCGUAAAGGGCGCGUAGGCGGUUCGUACAGUCAGACGUGAAAUUCCUGGGCUCAACCUGGGGGCUGCGUUUGAUACGUGCGGACUUGAGUGCGGAAGAGGGUCGUGGAAUUCCCAGUGUAGAGGUGAAAUUCGUAGAUAUUGGGAAGAACACCGGUGGCGAAGGCGGCGACCUGGUCCAUUACUGACGCUGAGGCGCGACAGCGUGGGGAGCAAACAGG
This 253-nucleotide ribosomal RNA is filed under the name uncultured bacterium. RNAcentral describes it as "partial 16S ribosomal RNA". It matches the Rfam family "Bacterial small subunit ribosomal RNA", at positions 524 to 776 of the family's 1533-position model. The record is from RNAcentral.